AUUGAACGCUGGCGGCAGGCCUAACACAUGCAAGUCGAACGGUAAUAGGAAGAAGCUUGCUUCUUUGCUGACGAGUGGCGGACGGGUGAGUAAUGUCUGGGAAACUGCCUGAUGGAGGGGGAUAACUACUGGAAACGGUAGCUAAUACCGCAUAACGUCGCAAGACCAAAGAGGGGGACCUUCGGGCCUCUUGCCAUCGGAUGUGCCCAGAUGGGAUUAGCUUGUUGGUGGGGUAACGGCUCACCAAGGCGACGAUCCCUAGCUGGUCUGAGAGGAUGACCAGCCACACUGGAACUGAGACACGGUCCAGACUCCUACGGGAGGCAGCAGUGGGGAAUAUUGCACAAUGGGCGCAAGCCUGAUGCAGCCAUGCCGCGUGUAUGAAGAAGGCCUUCGGGUUGUAAAGUACUUUCAGCGGGGAGGAAGGGAGUAAAGUUAAUACCUUUGCUCAUUGACGUUACCCGCAGAAGAAGCACCGGCUAACUCCGUG
RNAcentral lists this ribosomal RNA (490 nucleotides) under uncultured bacterium. RNAcentral describes it as "partial 16S ribosomal RNA". It matches the Rfam family "Bacterial small subunit ribosomal RNA", at positions 30 to 507 of the family's 1533-position model. The record is from RNAcentral.